CCCUUAGAUGUUCUGGGCCGCACGCGCGCUACACUGAUCGAUUCAACGAGUUUUGAAAUAAAUUUUUGAUUUUUUCAUAUCCUUUGUCGGAAGGCAUGGGUAAUCUUUUAAAUGUCGAUCGUGAUGGGGCUAGAUUCUUGCAAUUAUUAAUCUCCAACGAGGAAUUCCUAGUAAACGCAAGUCAUCAGCUUGCAUUGAUUACGUCCCUGCCCUUUGUACACACCGCCCGUCGCACCUACCGAUUGAAGAGUUAGGUGAAUUGUUUUGAUCGAUAAGAUUUGACUAUGGUCAACUCUCGUUGUGAAAUUCUGUGAAUCUGACUGUUUAGAGGAAGGAAAAGUCGUAACA
Molecule: ribosomal RNA, 348 nt
Filed under: uncultured eukaryote
Lineage: Eukaryota
Description: partial 18S ribosomal RNA
Rfam family: Eukaryotic small subunit ribosomal RNA
Source: RNAcentral